UACGUAGGGGGCAAGCGUUGUCCGGAAUCAUUGGGCGUAAAGAGCGUGUAGGCGGCUAGGUAGGUCCGUUGUGAAAGUCGGGGGCUCAACCCUCGGAUGCCGGUGGAUACUGUCGGGCUUGAGUACGGAAGAGGCGAGUGGAAUUCCUGGUGUAGCGGUGAAAUGCGCAGAUAUCAGGAGGAACACCAAUUGCGAAGGCAGCUCGCUGGGACGUUACUGACGCUGAGACGCGAAAGCGUGGGGAGCAAACAGG
This 253-nucleotide ribosomal RNA is filed under the name uncultured bacterium. Its description in RNAcentral is "partial 16S ribosomal RNA". It matches the Rfam family "Bacterial small subunit ribosomal RNA", at positions 524 to 776 of the family's 1533-position model. The record is from RNAcentral.